GAGUUUGAUCUUGGCUCAGGACGAACGCUGGCGGCGUGCUUAACACAUGCAAGUCGAGCGGAAAGGCCUCCUUCGGGGGGUACUCGAGCGGCGAACGGGUGAGUAACACGUGAGUGAUCUGCCCUCCACUUUGGGAUAACUGCCUGAAAGGGUGGCUAAUACCGGAUAUGACCGGCCGUUGCAUGGUGGUUGGUGGAAAGGUUUUUUCUGGUGGGGGAUGUGCUCGCGGCCUAUCAGCUUGUUGGUGGGGUAAUGGCCUACCAAGGCUUUGACGGGUAGCCGGCCUGAGAGGGUGACCGGCCACACUGGGACUGAGACACGGCCCAGACUCCUACGGGAGGCAGCAGUGGGGAAUAUUGGACAAUGGGCGGAAGCCUGAUCCAGCAACGCCGCGUGAGGGAUGACGGCC
This 409-nucleotide ribosomal RNA is filed under the name uncultured Actinomycetes bacterium. RNAcentral's name for it is "bacterial SSU rRNA". It matches the Rfam family "Bacterial small subunit ribosomal RNA", at positions 9 to 416 of the family's 1533-position model. Lineage: Bacteria; Bacillati; Actinomycetota; Actinomycetes. The record is from RNAcentral.